This 503-nucleotide ribosomal RNA is filed under the name uncultured bacterium. RNAcentral describes it as "partial 16S ribosomal RNA". It matches the Rfam family "Bacterial small subunit ribosomal RNA", at positions 30 to 523 of the family's 1533-position model. The record is from RNAcentral.
AUUGAACGCUGGCGGCAGGUUUAACAUAUGCAAGUCGAGCGGGGUGAUGGUGCUUGCACUAUCACUUAGCGGCGGACGGGUGAGUAAUGCUUAGGAAUCUGCCUAUUAGUGGGGGACAACAUCUCGAAAGGGAUGCUAAUACCGCAUACGUCCUACGGGAGAAAGCAGGGGAUCACUUGUGACCUUGCGCUAAUAGAUGAGCCUAAGUCGGAUUAGCUAGUUGGUGGGGUAAAGGCCUACCAAGGCGACGAUCUGUAGCGGGUCUGAGAGGAUGAUCCGCCACACUGGGACUGAGACACGGCCCAGACUCCUACGGGAGGCAGCAGUGGGGAAUAUUGGACAAUGGGGGGAACCCUGAUCCAGCCAUGCCGCGUGUGUGAAGAAGGCCUUAUGGUUGUAAAGCACUUUAAGCGAGGAGGAGGCUCUUUCGGUUAAUACCCAAGAUGAGUGGACGUUACUCGCAGAAUAAGCACCGGCUAACUCUGUGCCAGCAGCCGCCGUAA